CUACACGACCGUACCGCAAACCGACACUGGUGCGCGAGAUGAGUAUUCUAAGGCGCUUGAGAGAACUCAGGAGAAGGAACUCGGCAAAUUGACACCGUAACUUCGGAAGAAGGUGUGCCUUUAGUAGGUGAACCUGUACAAGGGGAGCCCAAUGAGGUUGCAAAAAAUCGGUGGCUGCGACUGUUUAAUAAAAACACAGCACUCUGCAAACACGAAAGUGGACGUAUAGGGUGUGACGCCUGCCCGGUGCUGGAAGAUUAAAUGAUGGGGUGCAAGCUCUUGAUUGAAGUCCCAGUAAACGGCGGCCGUAACGAUAACGGUCCUAAGGUAGCGAAAUUCCUUGUCGGGUAAGUUCCGACCUGCACGAAUGGCGUAACGAUGGCCACACUGUCUCCUCCUGAGACUCAGCGAAGUUGAAAUGUUUGUGAUGAUGCAAUCUCCCCGCGGAAAGACGGAAAGACCCCAUGAACCUUUACUGUAGCUUUGUAUUGGACUUUGAACAGAUCUGUGUAGGAUAGGUGGGAGGCUUUGAAGUGUGGUCGCUAGAUCGCAUGGAGCCAACGUUGAAAUACCACCCUGGUGUGUUUGAGGUUCUAACCUAGGCCCGUAAUCCGGGUCGGGGACAGUGCAUGGUAGGCAGUUUGACUGGGGCGGUCUCCUCCCAAAGCGUAACGGAGGAGUUCGAAGGUACGCUAGGUACGGUCGGACAUCGUGCUAAUAGUGCAAUGGCAUAAGCGUGCUUAACUGCGAGACUGACAAGUCGAGCAGAUGCGAAAGCAGGACAUAGUGAUCCGGUGGUUCUGUAUGGAAGGGCCAUCGCUCAACGGAUAAAAGGUACUCUGGGGAUAACAGGCUGAUACCGCCCAAGAGUUCAUAUCGACGGCGGUGUUUGGCACCUCGAUGUCGGCUCAUCUCAUCCUGGGGCUGUAGCCGGUCCCAAGGGUAUGGCUGUUCCCAUUUAAAGAGGUACGUGAGCUGGGUUUAAAACGUCGUGAGACAGUUUGGUCCCUAUCUUCCGUGGGCGCUGCAGAUUUGAGGAAGCCUGCUCCUAGUACGAGAGGACCGGAGUGGACACACCUCUGGUGUAUCGGUUGUCACGCCAGUGGCAUUGCCGAGUAGCUAUGUGUGGAAGAGAUAACCGCUGAAAGCAUCUAAGCGGGAAACUCGUUUCAAGAUGAGAUCUGCCGGGGCCUUGAGCCCCCUAAAAAGUCGUUCAAGACCAGGACGUUGAUAGGUCGGGUGUGGAAGCGCAGUAAUGCGUUAAGCUAACCGAUACUAAUUGCUCGUGCGGCUUGACC
This 1298-nucleotide ribosomal RNA is filed under the name metagenome. RNAcentral's name for it is "bacterial LSU rRNA". It matches the Rfam family "Bacterial large subunit ribosomal RNA", at positions 1634 to 2925 of the family's 2925-position model. The record is from RNAcentral.